CGGCUGGACUUCCAGCACCGACGCCGACGCCAACGGCGGGCACUCCUUGCUGCUGCUGUUGCUGUUGCUGUCGCUGCUCCUUCUGUGCCGCCAAGUUUCUCAGCACCCUGUUGAUGGACGACACCUGAAACAGCAAACGAGAAAUACGUUAGAUCAGCGGUCCUCGAGUUUCUAUGAGCGAGAGGCAGAGCGAGGAGAAAUCGCGUGUCCAGGAUUACGCGCGGAGUCCUGGGAUUGGCCAUGGGAGAUUUUCGUUCCCCGAGGUUUGUUAGACCCGAUGUCAGGGUUCCACGGCGUUGAAGCGAGCUGACAUCUCGGACCCACGAGCGGAGCAGUGUCAUCCCCCUCAGUGCACACGCGAACCCAUCCCCAUCACGGACACGUCCCAAACACGAAACAGACAUCACCGAUACUCUCCCUCUUCGAUGUCCUUCAACGUUCCGGUUGUUACGCUUUCCUUCGAACGCCAUCCUGGCUAUAGAUCCUCGUAUCGAGACGGUUCGGACAAUUCUCUGGUUCAAAGGGAAGAGUAGCAGGCUUUAUAGGUUCGGGAAAGAUAGAAAAUGGAAGGAUAGGAAUUAUCUUGAGUUUAGUGGUCGGCAAAGGAGAGGUAGCGAGGUCGAGGUCCGGGAUGACUAGUCAGGAUGAAAUCGUCAGUUAUCGAAGGAAGAAAUUUGGAACGUUUGUUGCUGGAGUUUGACGGAGGAUGAGAAGAAGACAGUUAUCUUGACUAAAGCUGAUACAAAGACUAUGUUGGCAUACAACAGUAUUUUUUAGAGAAACCAACGGAAAAAAUCACGACGAAUUAGAGCUCUUUAGGCCCGAUACUUUGCGAGAAAAGAUAUCCGCAGAAGUACGGCAUAAUUUUCGUUCCAACAAAGCAGAAACCCCCUUUAACGCGAACAAAACACCCUGAACGGAUAUCUCGAAGACUGACGAGCGAAUAAUGAAUUCGAGAAAGCGAAAACGAUAAAUUAGCGAUACUCAAGUUAACUCGACGAUCUGGUUGACGUAACGGCAAAAGGGGCGCGGAGUCAACGACUCGAUGGCAGCGGUUGAAAACGUUGUGGGACCGAGCACCCACUCGAACGAAACUCUUUUCUUCGAAAUCGAACGAGAAAAGCGAAGUGUGUCUCGCCGUUUCAACGUUUCGCUAGUGGCAUGCCUGGCCGCGACAAAGCGCGCCAUUGUGGGAUCGAUUUCUAGUGCGGCGACGAUUGUCGCGGUAACGACGAGGGUGACACACGCGGCAAACGUCGCCUGUAUAAAGAGCUAAGAAGCAGCGAUACUUGUGGUCGACGUCGAUAAUAAUAAAAAAAAAAAAGAAAGAAAAAAAUAGUGAAAAAGGAACUGGGCCAAAACAGGCAGGACACUCGAUGUCACACCAGAGCCCGGAUUGUUGUUUGACAGGGGCACCCGUUCUUUGGGUCGCUGGCUUUUGUCGUCUUGCCACAACGACUUCUCAUUGUGCGGGGAUUCCCGACGUCGAGUGACUUCGAUGCGACGGUUUUGUGCCGCUCGCGGUAUCGCAUAGGCCUGCAAGUGUUUUUGUUAGGGACGGAUGAUAUCGUUUCUGGUGGAAAGGUUGGGUGAGAGUUAAUCGUUGCGAAAAUAUACAAGUUUGAAUAUUUAUAGAAUUUCGUAUGGUUCGGUAGUAGACACAUACGUGACUCUGAAAUCGCACAUUUAAAUCGAAAUUCAUUUUAUCUAAAUCCGUAGGAUCACCUACGAACACUCCAAUUGCAACAAUUACUUUGCAAUCGUAUUAUCCUUUCGAUUUAUAUUAGGUUGUCCCGAAAGCGACUUGCACUCAAUUAUUUGAUGUGAUCGUGUUUAUAUAAAUAGACAAUCCAAUUUCAUAGAUAUUCAUGUCGUAACAGUAACGAAGCAAAAUGAAUCGUGCAUAAUUCAGUAAUGUAAUAUAAAAUAUUGUGCAUGUAUUACUGAUUAAUAAAGCGAAAGAAACUUUUCGGACAACCUAAUAUAACAUGAUUAGUACCUGUAAAUGGUCCUAUCAUAGAAUUUUUCAGAAAUCGAACAUGAGAUGUGGAUUAUGGAGGGUUAAUUGCGCCAAAGUCUUUUAUGAUUCAAAAAUGAUAGAAAAGUGUCGUCGAAUUGUCCGUUCCGAAUAAUGCUCGACCGACACAAAAGGCCUCGGAUAUUAUCGCGCGUCCGUGCGACUCGCAUAAAGAACGACACGCGGCGGGGGCUUGAAACACGGAAGGACCAAGAAGAAUCUGGCGGAUCGAUGAAAUUAGCAUGAACCGUGAAGAGAGCUAGGGGGCGACUCUUGAAAAGGGUCCACGGAUAGAGACGUCAUAAUAUUACCCUCGCGCGACGUCUGCUAAAGGAUUCGAUAACGAGCGCGAUAGUAAUUCAAAAACCAUCGCUAGAAUCGAUUUGGAA
Long non-coding RNA from Hylaeus volcanicus, 2406 nucleotides. RefSeq lists it as uncharacterized. Lineage: Eukaryota; Metazoa; Arthropoda; Insecta; Hymenoptera; Colletidae. The transcript has 3 exons. The record is from RefSeq and is a predicted model, not a curated record.